GACGAACGCUGGCGGCGUGCCUAAUACAUGCAAGUCGAGCGCAUGCACCCGGCGGACCUCUUCGGAGGGAAACCGGGGAAUGGAGCGGCGGCCGGGUGAGUAACACGUUGGCAACCUGCCCUCCAGACGGGGAUAACUCCGGGAAACCGGAGCUAAUACUCGAUAAUCAAGCCGAUCUCCUGAUCGGCGUGUAUAAGCAUGGUCUUCGGACCUUGCACUGGAGGUUGGGCCUGCGGCGUAUUAGCGAGUUGGAGAGGUAAGGGCCCUCCAAGGCGACGUUACGGAACCCGACGGGAGUGGGGGUCCGCCCACCUGGGAGCGUGACCAGGCCCAGUACCCCUAGGGAAGCAGCCAUAGGGGAACAUGCGGCAGGGGUGGAAGUCUGACGGUGGAACGCCGCCUGGGGGAUGAAGGGUGUCGGGUCGUAAAGACCUGUUGUGGGGGAAGAAAAAGGUCGGUACUAACAGGGCCGCUGCCUGACGGUACCUGACCAGAAAGCCCCGGCUAACUACGUG
RNAcentral lists this ribosomal RNA (515 nucleotides) under uncultured bacterium. Its description in RNAcentral is "partial 16S ribosomal RNA". It matches the Rfam family "Bacterial small subunit ribosomal RNA", at positions 28 to 507 of the family's 1533-position model. The record is from RNAcentral.